CUACGUAGCUCAGAGUUUGAUCCUGGCUCAGGACGAACGCUGGCGGCGUGCUUAACACAUGCAAGUCGAGCGGUAAGGCUCCUUCGGGAGUACACGAGCGGCGAACGGGUGAGUAACACGUGAGCAAUCUGCCCUUCACUUCGGGAUAACCGCCGGAAACGGUGGCUAAUACCGGAUACGACCACCUCGGGCAUCCGAUGGUGGUGGAAAGCUCCGGCGGUGGAGGAUGAGCUCGCGGCCUAUCAGCUUGUUGGUGGGGUAAUGGCCUACCAAGGCAACGACGGGUAGCCGGCCUGAGAGGGUGACCGGCCACACUGGGACUGAGACACGGCCCAG
RNAcentral lists this ribosomal RNA (336 nucleotides) under uncultured bacterium. RNAcentral's name for it is "bacterial SSU rRNA". It matches the Rfam family "Bacterial small subunit ribosomal RNA", at positions 1 to 334 of the family's 1533-position model. The record is from RNAcentral.